This 7543-nucleotide long non-coding RNA is filed under the name Musa acuminata (dwarf banana). RNAcentral's name for it is "long non-coding RNA (MACU_LNC000886)". Lineage: Eukaryota; Viridiplantae; Streptophyta; Magnoliopsida; Zingiberales; Musaceae. The record is from RNAcentral.
CCAUCUUCACCAUGGCCGCCGCGAAGUCCCUCGAAAAGGCUGCGGCGUUGGUGCUGUACUGCCGGACCAGCGCGUCCUGAGUGCCGUUGUUGAAGAGUUCCUGGUCCGAGUGGAGGAGGCCCUUCUGCGACACCAGGUUCUGAUAGUACGCGUUGUCGAAGGCGGUGGGUGUCUGCAGGUCGAGCGGCGCCAGGGUGUUGUCGCCGCCGGAGGACGGGCAGUUCUGCUGGGUCUGCGACGCGAAGCUGGCGUCGAUGUUGGCGUCGUUGUAGAUGUGGGAGCGGAAGUUGACGCAGCGGGCCUGACCGAUGGUGUGGGCGCCGGAGAGCGCGGUGAGGUCCCGCGCGUUCAGGUUCUUGUUGGCGAAGGCUGUCUUCAGCUGGGAGAGGCUGGAGCUGGGGGCCGGGAGGUUGGUGUUGGCCGCGCUUUGGCUGGCUGUGGUCGCGUCCCUGCGUCCCAGUUUCACCGUCCACGAUGGCCCUCCAAGCUGAAAAAGAUCAUUUCGUUUAUCAGCUAAGAAAGACAGAGAGAAACAGAGAAGAACAGAGAGCGAGAGAGAAGGGAUGCGCUACUGACCAAAACUACGCCGUCGCGGGCGGCAAGUGCGACGAUAUCGGCGCACGAGACGAUGCCAGGGCAGGCUGCUUCCACGUUGGAUUUGAUGGUGUCGAUCACAUCGUAGCCACGCACAGAGUUCGCAUUCGGUCCCGCAUUCUUCUCUCCUGUGAUCGUCGCCGUGUCAUCAAGAAGGAUCGACCCGUCGCAGCCCUGCGAGAACUCCAAUAUUCAGAACCGCAAACAGCACAUCGGAAACCAUGCAAUGUAAGAAAGGCGUCGCCCUACGUUAACGAAGCAAUCAUGGAAGAACAGCCGGAGGAUGGAGGCGCCCAUCCUCGGCUCGUUAUUGACGGCCUGCGUCAUGGCCGACCGCACCACAGUCUGCAGGUUGGGACAUGUCUUUCUGUAGAACGUCGGCGAAAGCUGCCCGUCUGCAAUGCAGACAAGUAGAGCGAGGAACAAGACGAUGGCCAUUCUCUCAGAGGACACAGCCAUGGGUGAUCGACGGACAACCUGAUACCACCCAAGUGAACCACCAAAGGAAGCCUAAGCUGAGGUGAGAAGAAAGCCUCUCCAUGGCAAGGUAUAUAUAGCAGUCACCGUGCUUGCAUGGUUCUCGAAUAUCAAGGGUACGUGGAAUUCAAACAUGGCUGCGCAAAGACCUGCAUGUCACAUGUACUCGCCAUCCAAUUAGCUAAGUGUUAAGAGUCAGCAAAUGCUAACCUCGAUGGCCACACACAGCUGCCUUCACGCGACUCUCCGUGGAAUCGAACGUGUUCGAAGCAUGAGGGUUCAAUUUGGCUAGUACUAUGUGUGCUGCGGAGUUGGCCACAUCAUAUAGUUUAUGGCAUGAUUGCAUGGAGACAACUAACAACUGGACGAGCAUCAAGAAGAGCAGCCUUCUUCUUUGACUACGUAAACGAAUCUGCAUGCAUGUGCGGGACGGAUCGGGGCCCACAACGUUGACUCUACAUGCUUUGACUGGCAGAACUCUUGUAUGGAUGCCCGUGACGAGCUGCGAUAUGCAUGACAGCCUUCUUCCACCCGACUUAGAGAGUGAUGGAGUAGUCUUGGAUUCUUAUGCAAACUAUUCAAACAGUCGAUAGAGGUGCCUAACUGGUUCGAUCUAACAUUGUCUUCAUGCAUCAUUGCAUUGAAGGCUGCAGCUCUUCCUUGAAUUGGGUAAUAAGACAAAGGGUGAGUGAGGUGCUAAACAUGUCGGUGAGAAAAUAAUAGUAUUAAUAAUAUAAUCAAACUAUCAUUUAUGCUUUGAAAUUUCACGAGGUAGCAGGCAGGAACAUGUUAGCUUCAGUGUUCGUCAAAUAGCUGGAGUCUACUGAUGGUCAGGGAUGUUCUUCUACGGUGCUCAGUGGACAUGACCUGUCUCUCCUAAAUGCAGGGUUUUAUAUUCUAUACCACAUGUUGGAGACCGGCAAAUUUCAUGUUACAAGUGCAUCGCAUAUGAUUAGUUUUCUGUACGAAAGAUGGAAGCCAUAAUCUUUUUUUUUAUAUACGAUAAAUUAUAGAAUUAAUCUCACACAAUCCUCGGCCGCAGUCAUGAUUCUCCACACGACUUAGGUCACUAUACACGGGCGGAUCUUAAAGAGGGCUACGGAUCACAAAUAUGAAAAGAUCGGAACCGUCAAAAUGAUAUCAACGGUCUAACGUUCGUGUGAGAGACGCGAACGCUUUUGGAACCGCGAGCCCAUUAGCCCAAACCGUGAUUCGAUUUCGAUCCGUGAGCCCGAUGUGAACAAGUCACGUCGAUUUGGUCGGAGUCGAUAUCGGCUCUUAACAGAUUACAUGAAGCAGCAAGCAAUAUGGUUCUCGAAAACGUCAUCGACCAAGUCGAUGGUCACAUUCAUCUACCAUCACGCACGCAAAUGUUGACUCGAAAUGGAUUGGACGUUUUCGUGGUAAAACAUGGUUGAAUUUAGUGCACUGAUGAUGCAAUCCACUUCCGGAUUCGGAACGUUAACUCGGUUGACCAAGUCAAACCUGCCGCAAUUGGUAACCGCAUGGAAGCGGUCAACGUCAAUCGCUGCAUCAAGAUGUGUGCCAUGGAUCAUGCGGAGCAUCCGCGCAAGAAAGCUGUAGUUGAGAUCUCAUGUGAUGCAUGUUGUUUUCUUUAUUAUUAUUCCCCAACACACAACGAGCGUUAUUACCUGUAAUGGUGAAUACACACUUGGAUAAUCGUGCUCAUGUACGUAUAGUUAGGCCAUCUACGUACGCCACGUCACAUCAGUUGUUGACCUUCCUGCAGUUCAACCUGAUCUCCCCCUUGGUCCCUGUGAGCGGGCUGAUGUUUCCCAUCUUCACCAUGGCCGCCGCGAAGUCGCAGCUGAAGGCCGCCGCGUUGGUGCUGUACUGGCGGACCAGCGAGUCCUGAGACCCUUUGUUGAAGAGCUCCUGGUCCGAGUGCAGCAGGCCCCGCCGGACCACCAGGUUCUGGUAGUACCGGUUGUCGAAGGUGGUGGGCGUCUUGAGGUCGAGCGGGGCCAGGUUGCUGUCGCCGCCGGAGGCGGGGCAGGUAUGCUUAUGGGUCGACGCGAAGCUGGCGUCGACGUUGGCGUCGUUGUAGAUGUGGGAGCGGAAGGUGGUGCAGCGGGCUUGGCCGAUGGUGUGGGCGCCGGAGAGCGCGGUCAUGUCGCGGGCGCUCAGGCCCUUGGAGGAGAACGAUGAGAUGAGCUGGGAGAGGCUGGAGCCGGGGCUGGGGAGGUUGCUGUUGGCCGAGCUUUGGCUGGCGGUGGUGGCGUCCCUGCGUCCCAGUUGCACGGUCCAUGUUGGUCCCCCGAGCUGCAAGGAACAUUUACCGCAGUCAUCAGUGAACAUCUCACAUCCAUCGCCAUCGCCGUCAUUAACACUAUUGUCUUCGCAUCAUUGAUGCGACAGCUUGAUGAUGAGCCGAUGUUUCCAUCACGAUACAUUUACACAAGUAAUUCUUCCAUUCUUGGGGAAGCGCAGGGGUCGCGGUACUCACCAGCACAACACCGUCGCGCGCGGCGAGCGCGAGGAUGUCAGCGCACGACACAGUGGCUUUGCACGCGGUCUCGACGUUGGAUUUGAUGGUAUCGAUGACUUCAAAGCCGCGGACGGAGUUGGCGUUCGGGCCCGCGUUCUUCUCGCCGGUGAAGGUAGAUGUGUCAUCCAGAAGAAUCGAUCCGUCACAGCCCUGAGAAAGCGAUCGAGAGAACAAAAUAUGACAUCCAAAUGGAUCAGGUCAAAAGAUCGAACAGUUUAUGAUGUCACUGAGAUCAUAGCACAGUCGAGUGUAGAGAACAGAGUAGAUCGACACACUUUGACAGUGGUCAAAACUAAAGAAGGACAAAAGGAUGCCAAUCAAGAUGUACUUCGAGUUGAGCUCAAUAAAUCAUGACAGCUAACUCAAUCUGGCGACGGCACGCCACAAAUCACCAUUAAGAAUCUCUAUCGCAAGAAAUUACUGGGCGUACUCUGUUCAUAUCUUUCUUCAUAGACCAAACGAUCACAAACAAAGAGACGGAUUGCGUUGGCAGAAGCAUUUCCAUGGUAUCUCUGUGACAGAUAAGAAGGAAGAGGAGAGAGACGACGCAUACACUGACAAAGCAGUCGUGGAAGAACAACCGGAGGAUGGACGCGGCCAUCCUCCUCUCCUUGUUGACGGCCUGAGUCAUGGCCGACCGCACGAUGCUCUGCAGAUUGGGGCACGUAGAGCUGUAGAACGUCGGCGACAACUGUCCAUCGGCGGCGCAGGCAAGCAGAGCAAGGAAGCAGAAGGCGAGCACUCUGUCAAGGCAGAACGCGGCGGCCAUGGUUGAUCAACAGGAAGCUCGAGUUGGAGAUGGGAAGAGCGUCCCGAGACGGCCGGAUAUAUAUAGUACUGCACCCGCUUGCAUGGCUUCAAACAUUGAUGCCAUCAAAUUGUUCAGAUAUAAUUAAGCAGCAGUAAAUGAAAACUUUAAUCCCCAUUGAUUACGCGCAACCACAAUCAAUAGAUUUGGUGCAGAAUUGAGGCCACAAACAGUGUUCAAAAGAAGGGCAUUAGAACGCCAGGACCACAUGAACCUUCAGGCUACGUUUGGGAAACCUUUGCAUAAUGGAAAAGAUGGUGAGGAGGAAUCAAUUACAAGCAAAUAUACUAUCCACUAUUCACCACAUGAGAGGCUUGAUACUCGAAGAAAAAGAAGAAUAUGAAAUUUUCUUCUUGUCAUUUAUGACAAGUAAGUCAAUUAUAAGUUUUCUUCUUGUCAUUUAUGAUGAUAAAGAUAAUUAAUAGAUUCCUUUUCAUCAUUUAUGCGGAGAAAGAUAAUCUAAAAACUUACAUUUAAUAUAAAAAUAAAAGUAUCUUUUUUUGGACCAAUCAAACUUGAAAUUGAGAUGACUAAUUGCAUAGGAAGGAUUAGGUUGAGAAGCCUAAUCCGACAUCGAUCUUUGCAUAAGUGACACUCUAGGAGCUUAAUAGUUCGGAUCAUGUCCAAUCAAGAUAUCAAUGAUUUUUUUAUAUGAAUUAAUCUUAAAUAAAUAACAAAGUUAUACGUGAAACAACUGAUCUGAAACUUUUUACUUUUUGUUGUGUUGAUGGAGGAUGGCGUGACAGCGAGUUUGUUCUUGAGGUUGAUCGAGGCAGUGAGGUUGGAUCAGUCUCUUUUCCAAAACAGGUCAAAUUAGUCUUCAAAAGCAGUAAGCCGGACAAAUCCAUCCAUCCAGUGGAGAGAUGGUGUAAGACUGCCCGAGAGGGAGGGGAAACGAGAUAGGAAUGGUCCAUUUCCUAUGACUACAUACAACAACAAAAGAGAAGCAUGAUUCGUUGUCAUCGGAUCAAGAAGGAUAGCAGCCAUCAAUGUGUGGUAAGGAGGAGAAUCUUUCAUCUAUAUCAGGUUGGGCAUAAACCUAAGUGCAAGUCAAGUCGGUGACAAAAAAUAUACCCUACUUGUUAUAUAUUAUUCGUGUUUGCACACUAAAAAUACGACCUCUUAGCCAUGGCAAACAGGUGCAAAGCUUAAGCUUGCCAUUUCUUUAUGGGAAUGGUGUGAUUGUAGAGGGUGGAGGUGCACAUGCAAUGUACCAACACAAAUCUAGCGUCACGUUGCUAUGUUUCCUUUAUAAUUGAGAUGCCCUUUCACAUGCAUGUCGCAUAUAGUGUUGCCACAAUUAUGAAUGCAAGGGCUUUUAACAUACCUAUAUAUAUAUAUAUUAUUAAUGUGUUUACAUCAUAGGUGAUAUGAUAAAUAUUCUAUAGUGCAUGAAGUUUCGAGGAACACCAUGACGAGGACAUAUUUUACGUUGACAGGCAAUAAAGAACAACAUAUAUGCGCAUGCUUGUCGUUCUCAUCUGCCACUGCAAGACCACACCACCGAGUGCACAUUCUCCAUUAUGAGGAAUCCAAAGUAGCACCGACCAUCAUCCACUCCCAAAGAGAAGAAGAAGAAGAAGAAUGUUAGUGGAAACUCAUCUUGCAUUGCUUGGUGGAUUAUUCAUACGAGUGAUCUCUUCCUAUUCUUGCUUGAUUCACGAACAAUUCCAAGGAGAAAGAAGACAAAUAUACAUGGAUGAGCAAUGAUAGCAAAGAACAAAUAGAACCGAGCAACUCUAUCCACAAAUAGUACUACUGCAGAAUGCAAAGAAUCCUUCAGUUCGUCCUCCGGCAGUUCAAUCUGAUCUCCCCGAGAUAUCCCGUCAGUGGGCUGAUGUUUCCCAUCUUCACCAUGGAUGCCGCGAAGUCCGUGGCAAAUGCCGUCGCGUUGGAGCUGUAGAGCUGCACCAGCCAGUCCGCUGGCCCGUUGUUGAAGAGCUCCUGGUCGGAGUGCAGGAGCCCCCUCCGGCCCAUCAGGUUCUGGAAGUAGCUGUUGUCGAACCGGGUGGGGCUGGUGGAAUCCAGCGGGGCCAUCGUGGCGUCGCCGCCGACGGCCAGGCAAGUCUGCCUCCGGAGCCACGCGAAGCCCGGGUCGAUGUUGCUGUCGUUGUAGACGUGGGGGCGGAAGUUGCUGCAGCGGGCGCUGCCGACGGUGUGAGCGCCGGAGAGCGCGGUCAGGUCGCGCAUGUCGAGGCCCUUGGCCGCGAACGUCGACAUCAGGGUGUAUGCGCUGGCGGAGGCGGGCGGGAGGUUAGCGACGGCCGCGGAAAUGCUCGCCGUCCUCGCGUCCCGGCGGCCCAACGCCACCACCCAACUUGGUCCACCGAGCUGCAUGCGGAAAGCCCAUCAGUUUUACGUGUCCAAUGCACUGUUAUGGAAUGGAUAGCAUGAGGCCGACCAAGUUGACCCCGUCGCGGGCGGCGAGGGCGAGGAUGUCGGCGCACGACACCACCGCUCUGCAACUCGCUUCGACCUGGGCCUUGAUGGAGUCGAUGACUUCGUAGCCGCGGAGGGAGUUGCGGUUCGGCGGCGCGUUCUUCUCGCCGGUCAUGGCUUGUGUGUCAUCGAGGAGGACGGAUGCGUCGCAGCCCUGAGGAAAAGGUCAAAUACACUGGUCAACGAAACAUCCACCAUCGACAAAGAAUUCCUCUGUGCUAAUUCUUCUUUUCACCCAUUGGGACACUCCAGGCUGUAAAGAAGCUUAUGCGAUCAAAUCAUUAGCUGUCCGAUGGACGUUUCCUUUCCGACACCGCAGGGAAUUAGAACCUUCCAACCACCACAUCCCGACCGUUCAUUCCCUAAAUCUUUCGAUCAACUGAAGUUUGGAAUUAAUCUUACCGACAUCGAACAGGAAGCAAUCUAACUAAGAAGUCAAGCAGACAAACUUAUCCAUCUAAAGCAUGGAGAAGCAAUCGAUGCCUCACGUUGACGAAGCAGUCGUGGAAGAAGAGGCGGAGCAUGGAGGCGCCCAUCGUAGGGUCCUGGCCGACGGCCUGGGUCAUCGCCGACCGUACGAUGCUCCGCAGGCUGGGACAGGUCCAGUCGUAGAAUGUGGGUGACAACUGCGCACGUACGCUGCAAGCCACCAAACAGACGGUAGCUACCGCAAGGAAGGCGGAGCAGUACGAAGCCAUGAUCGAAGCGAAGCCUAA